CUAUGUGUUGUUGGGUAGGGGAGCGUUCUGUAAGCCUGCGAAGGUGGCCUGUGAGGGUUGCUGGAGGUAUCAGAAGUGCGAAUGCUGACAUAAGUAACGAUAAAGCGGGUGAAAAGCCCGCUCGCCGGAAGACCAAGGGUUCCUGUCCAACGUUAAUCGGGGCAGGGUGAGUCGACCCCUAAGGCGAGGCCGAAAGGCGUAGUCGAUGGGAAACAGGUUAAUAUUCCUGUACUUGGUGUUACUGCGAAGGGGGGACGGAGAAGGCUAUGUUGGCCGGGCGACGGUUGUCCCGGUUUAAGCGUGUAGGCUGGUUUUCCAGGCAAAUCCGGAAAAUCAAGGCUGAGGCGUGAUGACGAGGCACUACGGUGCUGAAGCAACAAAUGCCCUGCUUCCAGGAAAAGCCUCUAAGCAUCAGGUAACAUCAAAUCGUACCCCAAACCGACACAGGUGGUCAGGUAGAGAAUACCAAGGCGCUUGAGAGAACUCGGGUGAAGGAACUAGGCAAAAUGGUGCCGUAACUUCGGGAGAAGGCACGCUGAUAUGUAGGUGAAGUCCCUCGCGGAUGGAGCUGAAAUCAGUCGAAGAUACCAGCUGGCUGCAACUGUUUAUUAAAAACACAGCACUGUGCAAACACGAAAGUGGACGUAUACGGUGUGACGCCUGCCCGGUGCCGGAAGGUUAAUUGAUGGGGUUAGCGGUAACGCGAAGCUCUUGAUCGAAGCCCCGGUAAACGGCGGCCGUAACUAUAACGGUCCUAAGGUAGCGAAAUUCCUUGUCGGGUAAGUUCCGACCUGCACGAAUGGCGUAAUGAUGGCCAGGCUGUCUCCACCCGAGACUCAGUGAAAUUGAACUCGCUGUGAAGAUGCAGUGUACCCGCGGCAAGACGGAAAGACCCCGUGAACCUUUACUAUAGCUUGACACUGAACAUUGAGCCUUGAUGUGUAGGAUAGGUGGGAGGCUUUGAAGUGUGGACGCCAGUCUGCAUGGAGCCGACCUUGAAAUACCACCCUUUAAUGUUUGAUGUUCUAACGUGGACCCGUGAUCCGGGUUGCGGACAGUGUCUGGUGGGUAGUUUGACUGGGGCGGUCUCCUCCUAAAGAGUAACGGAGGAGCACGAAGGUUGGCUAAUCCUGGUCGGACAUCAGGAGGUUAGUGCAAUGGCAUAAGCCAGCUUGACUGCGAGCGUGACGGCGCGAGCAGGUGCGAAAGCAGGUCAUAGUGAUCCGGUGGUUCUGAAUGGAAGGGCCAUCGCUCAACGGAUAAAAGGUACUCCGGGGAUAACAGGCUGAUACCGCCCAAGAGUUCAUAUCGACGGCGGUGUUUGGCACCUCGAUGUCGGCUCAUCACAUCCUGGGGCUGAAGUAGGUCCCAAGGGUAUGGCUGUUCGCCAUUUAAAGUGGUACGCGAGCUGGGUUUAGAACGUCGUGAGACAGUUCGGUCCCUAUCUGCCGUGGGCGCUGGAGAACUGAGGGGGGCUGCUCCUAGUACGAGAGGACCGGAGUGGACGCAUCACUGGUGUUCGGGUUGUCAUGCCAAUGGCACUGCCCGGUAGCUAAAUGCGGAAGAGAUAAGUGCUGAAAGCAUCUAAGCACGAAACUUGCCCC
RNAcentral lists this ribosomal RNA (1604 nucleotides) under Escherichia coli. Its description in RNAcentral is "partial 23S ribosomal RNA". It matches the Rfam family "Bacterial large subunit ribosomal RNA", at positions 1214 to 2800 of the family's 2925-position model. Lineage: Bacteria; Pseudomonadati; Pseudomonadota; Gammaproteobacteria; Enterobacterales; Enterobacteriaceae. The record is from RNAcentral.